This 2229-nucleotide long non-coding RNA is filed under the name Citrus sinensis (sweet orange). Its description in RNAcentral is "long non-coding RNA (CSIN_LNC001258)". Lineage: Eukaryota; Viridiplantae; Streptophyta; Magnoliopsida; Sapindales; Rutaceae. The record is from RNAcentral.
AUGGAUGCAGCAGAAGCAAACAACAAAAGGGACCAAUAUGCUGUUUUCAAUACUAUACUAGAGGACAUGGUCCAAAACAGUGCACGAUGAGAGGACAACUACAAGCUGUAAAAAAAGAAAAAAAAAGUGUAAGAUAUGAGUAAGUAAAUGCAUAUAAAUGCAUGCAUGUGUGUUUACUUUAACCAUGGUAAAGCAAAUGUGGUUAAAAAAUUACCCAAUCUGAUUCUUCUGAAGAAGAUAUAUCAUAUCAUUGAGAAAUGAUGGUGUUUUGUACUUCUUAUCUUUAGGAAAAAAAAAUUGAAAGAUAAAAAUCAAAUAAAGAAAUCCCACUGUCUUGGCUUGGUCUUAUGACUUAUUUUUGAAAAAAAAAUUUCUUGGUGUUUGUCUUACUUGUUCCCUGAAAUCGAUGUUAUUCUCUCUCUCUCUUUCUCUUUCUUUCUCAAUUUUAAUUUUUUAUUAUUUUUUAUCUUCUCACUCUGUGUUAUUGAAUUAUUUUGUUUAACUUGGGGCAGCUGGUUCAUUCUUCCAAGCAAAAAGCUGUUAAUUAGCUAGCAGAGGCAUCAGAUCUAGUAGAAAAAGAAGUGCUAAGAAUUUGAGAGACUCUGAUGAGCAGAGAAAAAAAGAAAAGAAAUAAAAGAAACAUUGGAAUUUGUAAUAAUCUUAAUGUUCUUUCUAUUAACGCCCUUUCAAGUAAUGUAGGCUGUUAUUAACAUUCAAAUCGAGCUUACAAUAAGCUCUAUUAACACUGAGCAAUGGAAUAUUUUAAUUAAGGACCCAAAACUUCAAAUCAAAAUUAAAAAGAAAAAAGAAAAAAGAAAAAAGAAAAAAGAAACCCUUAAGAGGAGAGGAGAGAACAAACCCAGUUGGGAUUAAUUGAUAAUGAUAAGUUCCUUUACCUGUAAGUGAGAUUUAACAUGAGCCAAGGUAAGAUCUUUCACAUCCAUUAGCUCAAGAACUGAUUUUGGAGUUGCUCCUAUACUCAAUAUCAAACCAAGAGGAGUAAUUAAUAUGAGUUUAUAAGAAAAAAUCUUUUAGCCAGAAAAGAAAAGGGUACUAAAGUAUAUCGAAAAAAGAAAGUGGAGAAAAAAUGAAAGCAUACUUUCAUGGCCACCCAAUAACUCAACAGCAUGAACAAAGCGAGCAUGAAGAGUCGUAGUCCAUCGCAUCCGCGGAGCUCUCAUGCUUCGUUUUGCCGGAAACCUCGACAUGAAUCUUGAUCUCAUCAAACCUUGUUGUGACUGAAAAGAAUUCAAACUCGAGGUACUUGUGUUAUUAUUAGCUACCAAAGAUGGAGGAGGAGGAGAAUCCAAUGGCUGUUGCUGAUGAUGAGGGAAUGGAAAAGCAUGAGAAGCUUGAUGAUGAUGAUGAUGAUGAUGAGGGUUUUGAUAAACAGGGAUUCCUCUUAUGGGUCUCAAGAAACCAAGCUCUUGACUCAGCCCUUGCUGCUGCGGCGGUUGAUGAUAAAGCACUGGGUGGUGGUGUUGGUUUUGAUGAAGAUGAUGAUGUGUAGGAAAUUGACUAUGAUUUUGCUGAUGAUGAAAAGAGUGAAAAAUGUUGUUGCCAUUACAAUUAGUGGUGGUGGUGGUAUUGUUUUGGAGGAGAUGAAACUGAUGAUGAUGAUUUAGAUUAUUAUUCGACGACAGAGACUCAGAGAGUACUGAAGAAGAAGAAACCCUUGCCGGGUUUGAUAGGGAGAGUUCGAAGCCACCGCCGGUUGAUAUAUCGGAGGAGGGCUUGGCGUUGGCGGCGGCCAUUGAAGAAGAAUUUCUUGAGUCCAGAGCUCGCUUCCAAAAUCCCAAAUCCAUUUCUUCUUCAGCAGCUGCACCUCUCCUGCUGCUCCAUGUUGAUGAGGGUUUGCUGUUUGGUGGGCUGAUUUGUAAAGACAAAUCAGGUUGAGCUGGAAAUAGCUCCAUAUCUUUUUGAACUCCUACUACUACUAACAACAACAACAAAAUUACUAUAGGACUCCCACCUUUCAAAGCUUUCUUUAGCUUAAUUUUCGUUUCUAGCAGUAUAUAUGAUUUGUAAGAUGCUAGCUUUUGAGUGAUGAUGUAUGAGUUAACAAAUAAGAAAGAAAGAAAGAAAAAAAAAAAAAAAGGUUUUUGAAAUCUUGAGGUGGGAUUUAAGGAGGAUUCUUGAGAUGGGGUUUGAUCAAAUUUUGAGGGGGGAAGUAGUUGUAGUUGUGAAGUUGCAGAGAUUUGAGAAUAAAAAGAGGGAGAGAAAGAAAAC